RNAcentral lists this ribosomal RNA (655 nucleotides) under Brachybacterium sp. b21. RNAcentral's name for it is "bacterial SSU rRNA". It matches the Rfam family "Bacterial small subunit ribosomal RNA", at positions 74 to 742 of the family's 1533-position model. Lineage: Bacteria; Bacillati; Actinomycetota; Actinomycetes; Micrococcales; Dermabacteraceae. The record is from RNAcentral.
UGGUGCUUGCACCGCCUGAUUAGUGGCGAACGGGUGAGUAACACGUGAGUAACCUGCCCUCCACUUCGGGAUAACCUCGGGAAAUCGUGGCUAAUACCGGAUAUGAGCACUCAUCGCAUGGUGAGUGCUGGAAAGAUUUAUCGGUGGGGGAUGGACUCGCGGCCUAUCAGUUUGUUGGUGAGGUGAUGGCUCACCAAGACGAUGACGGGUAGCCGGCCUGAGAGGGCGACCGGCCACACUGGGACUGAGACACGGCCCAGACUCCUACGGGAGGCAGCAGUGGGGAAUAUUGCACAAUGGGCGAAAGCCUGAUGCAGCGACGCCGCGUGGGGGAUGACGGCCUUCGGGUUGUAAACCCCUUUCAGUAGGGAAGAAGCGAGAGUGACGGUACCUGCAGAAGAAGCGCCGGCUAACUACGUGCCAGCAGCCGCGGUAAUACGUAGGGCGCAAGCGUUGUCCGGAAUUAUUGGGCGUAAAGAGCUUGUAGGUGGCUUGUCGCGUCUGCCGUGAAAACCCGAGGCUCAACCUCGGGCGUGCGGUGGGUACGGGCAGGCUAGAGUGUGGUAGGGGAGACUGGAACUCCUGGUGUAGCGGUGAAAUGCGCAGAUAUCAGGAAGAACACCGAUGGCGAAGGCAGGUCUCUGGGCCAUUACUG